RNAcentral lists this ribosomal RNA (446 nucleotides) under uncultured bacterium. RNAcentral's name for it is "partial 16S ribosomal RNA". It matches the Rfam family "Bacterial small subunit ribosomal RNA", at positions 338 to 795 of the family's 1533-position model. The record is from RNAcentral.
CCUACGGGGGGCAGCAGUCGAGAAUCAUUCACAAUGGGGGAAACCCUGAUGGUGCGACGCCGCGUGGGGGAAUGAAGGUCUUCGGAUUGUAAACCCCUGUCAUGUGGGAGCAAAUUAAAAAGAUAGUACCACAAGAGGAAGAGACGGCUAACUCUGUGCCAGCAGCCGCGGUAGUACAGAGGUCUCAAGCGUUGUUCGGAAUCACUGGGCGUAAAGCGUGCGUAGGCUGUUUCGUAAGUCGUGUGUGAAAGGCGCGGGCUCAACCCGCGGACGGCACAUGAUACUGCGAGACUAGAGUAAGGGAGGGGGAACCGGAAUUCUCGGUGUAGCAGUGAAAUGCGUAGAUAUCGAGAGGAACACUCGUGGCGAAGGCGGGUUCCUGGACAUUAACUGACGCUGAGGCACGAAGGCCAGGGGAGCGAAAGGGAUUAGAUACCCCAGUAGUC